GCCCCAGUAGCUCAACGGAUAGAGCACUCGCGUUCUAAGCGAUUGGUUGGGGGUUCGAAUCCCUCCUGGGGUACAA
This 76-nucleotide transfer RNA is filed under the name Candidatus Curtissbacteria bacterium RIFCSPLOWO2_01_FULL_38_11b. RNAcentral's name for it is "tRNA-Arg". It matches the Rfam family "tRNA". From Rfam's summary of the family: Transfer RNA (tRNA) molecules are approximately 80 nucleotides in length. Their secondary structure includes four short double-helical elements and three loops (D, anti-codon, and T loops). Further hydrogen bonds mediate the characteristic L-shaped molecular structure. tRNAs have two regions of fundamental functional importance: the anti-codon, which is responsible for specific mRNA codon recognition, and the 3' end, to which the tRNAs corresponding amino acid is attached (by aminoacyl-tRNA synthetases). tRNAs cope with the degeneracy of the genetic code in two manners: having more than one tRNA (with a specific anti-codon) for a particular amino acid; and 'wobble' base-pairing, i.e. permitting non-standard base-pairing at the 3rd anti-codon position. Lineage: Bacteria; Candidatus Curtissiibacteriota. The record is from RNAcentral.